RNAcentral lists this ribosomal RNA (454 nucleotides) under uncultured bacterium. RNAcentral describes it as "partial 16S ribosomal RNA". It matches the Rfam family "Bacterial small subunit ribosomal RNA", at positions 28 to 507 of the family's 1533-position model. The record is from RNAcentral.
GAUGAACGCUGACAGAAUGCUUAACACAUGCAAGUCUACUUGAACUUCGGUUUGGGUGGCGGACGGGUGAGUAACGCGUAAAGAACUUGCCUCACAGAUAGGGACAACAUUUGGAAACGAAUGCUAACACCUGAUAUUAUGAUUUUAGGGCAUCCUAGAAUUAUGAAAGCUAUAUGCACUGUGAGAGAGCUUUGCGUCCCAUUAGCUAGUUGGAGAGGUAACGGCUCACCAAGGCGAUGAUGGGUAGCCGGCCUGAGAGGGUGAUCGGCCACAAGGGGACUGAGACACGGCCCUUACUCCUACGGGAGGCAGCAGUGGGGAAUAUUGGACAAUGGACCAAGAGUCUGAUCCAGCAAUUCUGUGUGCACGAUGAAGUUUUUCGGAAUGUAAAGUGCUUUCAGUUGGGAAGAAAAAAAUGACGGUACCAACAGAAGAAGUGACGGCUAAAUACGUG